RNAcentral lists this ribosomal RNA (505 nucleotides) under uncultured bacterium. RNAcentral describes it as "partial 16S ribosomal RNA". It matches the Rfam family "Bacterial small subunit ribosomal RNA", at positions 28 to 507 of the family's 1533-position model. The record is from RNAcentral.
GACGAACGCUGGCGGCGUGCCUAAUACAUGCAAGUAGAACGCACAGUUUAUACCGUAGCUUGCUACACCAUAAACUGUGAGUUGCGAACGGGUGAGUAACGCGUAGGUAACCUGCCUGGUAGCGGGGGAUAACUAUUGGAAACGAUAGCUAAUACCGCAUAAUAUUGAUUAUUGCAUGAUAAUUGAUUGAAAGAUGCUAUUGCAUCACUACCAGAUGGACCUGCGUUGUAUUAGCUAGUAGGUGAGGUAACGGCUCACCUAGGCGACGAUACAUAGCCGACCUGAGAGGGUGAUCGGCCACACUGGGACUGAGACACGGCCCAGACUCCUACGGGAGGCAGCAGUAGGGAAUCUUCGGCAAUGGACGAAAGUCUGACCGAGCAACGCCGCGUGAGUGAAGAAGGGUUUCGGAUCGUAAAGCUCUGUUGUAAGAGAAGAACGGGUGUGAGAGUGGAAAGUUCACUCUGUGACGGUAUCUUACCAGAAAGGGACGGCUAACUACGUG